AGCACCCGCACGGUAACGUCCACUUCCGUCGAACGGUAUUAUUUCACUGUCCGUUUUUGUACGACGCACGCUAAGGAAAAAUUAUCUCCCUGCCACUCUCUUGGAGCCCCCAAACCCCACACCACGAGCUAAUAAUCGUCUGGUCUGGGGGCUAAACGUUCCAUGGCCCCAACGGCGGCACAUCGGCGUUUUAGGUGCAAGCUUUGAAGUUUAGCCAGUGACUGAGACGACGUAAAUAGUGUGUCCGGAAGUGUAGUUAUCGUGGUGUCCAGGCUGGUGGCAAGAAGCGGAGAGCUCUAGUUGGUGUGUAUGUGUUGCCACAUUGUCUCAUAUCACCUUCCCCCCACCCCUUCUAUUCUGGUAGAGCCUAUCUACCACUGCCAUCAUCGUGGGGGUCAACAUGAUGUGCCACCGGCAAAAAGAAAAACCAGUGUGAGCCUAUGGGUUGAGGAAGCGUAGAGCGAGUUAA
RNAcentral lists this unclassified non-coding RNA (469 nucleotides) under Yarrowia lipolytica. Lineage: Eukaryota; Fungi; Ascomycota; Dipodascomycetes; Dipodascales. The record is from RNAcentral.